AGAGUUUGAUUCUGGCUCAGGAUGAACGCUAGCUACAGGCUUAACACAUGCAAGUCGAGGGGCAGCAUUGUCGAAGCUUGCUUGACAGAUGGCGACCGGCGCACGGGUGAGUAACGCGUAUCCAACCUUCCCCUUAGUAGGGCAUAGCCCGUAGAAAUGCGGAUUAAUACCCUAUGUUGUUCGAUGCGGACAUCUAAGUUGAACCAAAGGUUUACCGCUAAGGGAUGGGGAUGCGUCCGAUUAGGCAGCAGGCGGGGUAACGGCCCACCUGGCCAACGAUCGGUAGGGGUUCUGAGAGGAAGGUCCCCCACAUUGGAACUGAGACACGGUCCAAACUCCUACGGGAGGCAGCAGUGAGGAAUAUUGGUCAAUGGGCGAGAGCCUGAACCAGCCAAGUAGCGUGCAGGAAGACGGCCCUAUGGGUUGUAAACUGCUUUUAUACAGGGAUAAAGUCGGGGACGUGUUCCCCGUUUGCAGGUACUGUAUGAAUAAGGACCGGCUAAUUCCGUGCCAGCAGCAGC
This 521-nucleotide ribosomal RNA is filed under the name uncultured bacterium. Its description in RNAcentral is "bacterial SSU rRNA". It matches the Rfam family "Bacterial small subunit ribosomal RNA", at positions 8 to 518 of the family's 1533-position model. The record is from RNAcentral.